GGGAAAAACGCUUGCCUUGAAAUAAAAAUCAUUUCAUAAUUACCGCAAUAUGCAAGGGACCUGAUCAUUACAUUGUUGUCGCAUUAAUUUACACAGGCAUGAUGGUGAUAGAAAACUACCAGAGGAGAACAUGAAGAAAAACUGUUUUGAUCUUGAACAUCAAAAUUAAGCACAUUAUCAAUGUAUGACACAAGUAAAUAGUUUGCACAAAAUUCGGCGCGUCGACAGUCGAUCAACUUCCAAACUUCAUACUCGAGACUUCUUAGAAAGUUGUAUAUCAUCAUCAUAAUGGCCACCAUCACCAUUCUCCUCCAUUUUCUUCCUCGCCAGUAUCUUAUUAAUCUGGUGCAACUCAUUAUUGAGCUUCUGAUCCUUGUUUUGUUUUCGUGUCUUCCGACCAUCUUGCAUCUUCACACCAAACUGAAAUGCAGCUUUUGGCAUUGCUUCCUUCUGCUCAUUGUAUUUUGCCCAUUCCUCUUCUGUCUCAAAGUCCCAUCGAUGAAGACGACCUUUUGCCUGUUGAAGAGUAAUUAGACUAUAAUUAGCACCCACUAAUAAAAUUAUUUGGAUUUAUACCAGUAAACCUUAUCAAGGUCCCACUGGAGCUGUACAAAGACUAUCUUCAUUCACAUCACACAAAGCCACAAGCAGGUUCAUGUAAGAGAUGAAAAGUGCAUGGUAAUAUGGCAUAUAUGACUAUUAAAAAACCUCCCAGCAGGUAUCUCUCUCUUUAGCAAAAGUAAAAGAGACUGAUUCUGAGAUAGAUCACUUACUCGUCCACCCAUAUCCAUUUUAGACAAGUCAUCUUCAUCAUCGCUGUCCACAAUCUCACGAUUAUACUCUUGAUACCCAGGGUAACAUUCAGAAUAACUCUCAGAAAUAAAAUUGGGAUCCUUUUCUCUGGCAUCUUUCUCCCUCAAUUGCUGAAGCCUCUGAUCAUCUCGCUUGAACACCGACCCUAAACCUCGAUCCUUCUCUUCUUGGGUCAUGAAGCGUGGGUCCUGAACAAUGUUUGAAGCUGCUUGCAUGUCAUAUGCCUGCACUGUUUGCUGGAGAUACUGUUCAGGAUAUGCCAACUGCUCAGCAUAUUGGUAAUCUUGCCACUCUCCCUGGUAGCCACUAGCCAAUGCUUGAACUUGCACUGCAUCAUAUCCAUUCAGGUCUUG
Molecule: unclassified non-coding RNA, 1166 nt
Filed under: Hevea brasiliensis (rubber tree)
Lineage: Eukaryota; Viridiplantae; Streptophyta; Magnoliopsida; Malpighiales; Euphorbiaceae
Source: RNAcentral